Molecule: long non-coding RNA, 1119 nt
Organism: Anguilla rostrata (American eel)
Lineage: Eukaryota; Metazoa; Chordata; Actinopteri; Anguilliformes; Anguillidae
Exons: 4
Source: RefSeq, a predicted model, not a curated record
UUGAACACAUGCUAUGUAAAGUAAGAAUUGCAGCUAGUGCAUCAUCAUUAAAAGGUAAGCGCGAGCAACCACCACUCGGUAGAAAUCAGCUUCACCCCCUAGAGCGCUUCACUGACGUGACUUUACACCAAUAACACAGCGGAGUUUUGGAAACACUACAAACCUCGCAAGUUCGCCUUUUCAGAAAUCAAGUUUAAACAGCGACUUUCCGGACAGCAGCAUUCAAUCAAUGACACAAUGACUUCUCACUCCAAGGUGCAUGCAUGCUUGUUGUUGCCUUGUCAACAGAGGAGGAUUUGGAAGUGGCUGCCCCUGACGACAAACUCCACCCUCCACAAAAUUCUGAACCUUUUAAGGAGGGGGAAUCAGGACAUGCUUCCACCAGCAGGUUUGGCAGUUAGCAGAAGGGUGGAAAGUUGGCUGUGGAAUUCUGAAGGGGAUACCUGGAUAUUUUACAGCUGACUGGAUCAGACCAAACUCCCGAGGCUGUAGAGCACGAAAGACCUUGUGGGCAGCUGUUUCAGGAGAUUCUGGAACCACCACGUCUGGCACCAACAAUCAUACCACUAUCAAGGAACAACAAUUAUACCUCUUUACCAUAUAUGCAUGUUUUAUAGUUUGAAUUGCCGCCACGUGAUUCACUGUUUGGAGAAGCAGGCAAUUUGUUUUAAUGAGCAGGUGUACCUAAUUAAGUGGUUACUGAGUAUCGUUUUAGUGAUAAUUUAAGUAUAUGGUACAUUUAAAUGGUAAAUGUUUAUGAUAUUUGAGUAUCAGCUUGUGGUCAAAUCAAGCAAACAAACCUUUUUGCUUCCAGAUGAAUGUAGCAUAGAAACUUGCAUUCUAUGUUGUUUCUUUUUCAACUAUUAAAAAAGGUUUCAUGGAAUAUGACAUAAAUUUGUUCAUGUGUGAAGACUCCUUGAUAGUUCAAAGUCAAGGUUUAACCAUUGCAUGGUUGUUGCAAUUUGCAAUAUGUGUCUGCACACAAAGCACACAAAGACAAAGGUAUAUAACUGUGACUGCAAAAGCAGACAGAAUCCACAGAUUUUAAGGUUAAGCUUUUAUUUAUUUGGAAACAGCCUGAAACAGAUCAUGGCCCUAUCUUUUGCUGUCAAGACAUAA